CCUACGGGAGGCAGCAGUGAGGAAUAUUGGUCAAUGGGCGCGAGCCUGAACCAGCCAAGUAGCGUGAAGGAUGACUGCCCUACGGGUUGUAAACUUCUUUUAUAAAGGAAUAAAGUGAGGCACGUGUGCCUUAUUGUAUGUACUUUAUGAAUACGGAUCGGCUAACUCCGUGCCAGCAGCCGCGGUAAUACGGAGGAUCCGAGCGUUAUCAGGAUUUAUUGGGUUUAAAGGGAGCGUAGAUGGGUUGUUAAGUCAGUUGUGAAAGUUUGCGGCUAAACCGUAAAAUUGCAAUUGAUACUGGCAGUCUUGAGUACAGGUGAGGUAGGCGGAAUUCGUGGUGUAGCGGUGAAAUGCUUAGAUAUCACGAAGAACUCCGAUUGCGAAGGCAGCUUACUAAACUGCCACUGACAUUGAUGCUCGAAAGUGUGGGUAUCAAACAGGAUUAGAUACCCCAGUAGUC
Molecule: ribosomal RNA, 460 nt
Filed under: uncultured bacterium
Lineage: Bacteria
Description: partial 16S ribosomal RNA
Rfam family: Bacterial small subunit ribosomal RNA
Source: RNAcentral